GGCAUCCAAACAAAGAAGGGCUCAUCGAGAUCAGUUAGGGAGUUUCAGAUGCAUUGCAAAUGCACAUAAUUCAGCAUUUUUAAAGCUAAAAGGGGAAAGGGGUUGCACAAGGAAGUUGAUAAGCCUAAUAGCCGCUGUAGCUAUCAAGAUUUGAAGGAAAAGCAAGCAAAGUAUAUGAACUACCUAUGGCAUGGUCCACCACAUGACCGAACAGUUAGCUGCUCUUUUGCUGACAAGCUGUUAUAGUAUAUGCACUCAAAUACAUGAACCAUGGAACCGCAGUGACAUGAACGUUUUAUCAGUGCUUUGCAAGGGGGACAUUCUCCAGGAUGACAAGACAAG
This is a long non-coding RNA of Solanum lycopersicum (tomato), 342 nucleotides long. RefSeq lists it as uncharacterized. NCBI's taxonomy places the organism in Eukaryota, Viridiplantae, Streptophyta, Magnoliopsida, Solanales, Solanaceae. The record is from RefSeq and is a predicted model, not a curated record.